RNAcentral lists this ribosomal RNA (851 nucleotides) under uncultured Bacteroidota bacterium. RNAcentral describes it as "bacterial SSU rRNA". It matches the Rfam family "Bacterial small subunit ribosomal RNA", at positions 28 to 870 of the family's 1533-position model. Lineage: Bacteria; Pseudomonadati; Bacteroidota. The record is from RNAcentral.
GAUGAACGCUAGCUACAGGCUUAACACAUGCAAGUCGAGGGGAAACGGCAUUAAGUGCUUGCGCUUUUUGGACGUCGACCGGCGCACGGGUGAGUAACGCGUAUCCAACCUUCCCAUGACUAAGGGAUAACCUGCCGAAAGGCAGACUAAUACCUUAUGGUCUUCACUGACGGCAUCAGAUGUGAAGUAAAGAUUUAUCGGUUAUGGAUGGGGAUGCGUCUGAUUAGCUUGUUGGCGGGGUAACGGCCCACCAAGGCAACGAUCAGUAGGGGUUCUGAGAGGAAGGUCCCCCACAUUGGAACUGAGACACGGUCCAAACUCCUACGGGAGGCAGCAGUGAGGAAUAUUGGUCAAUGGGCGAGAGCCUGAACCAGCCAAGUAGCGUGCAGGAAGACGGCCCUAUGGGUUGUAAACUGCUUUUGUAUGGGGAUAAAGUCAAUCACGUGUGAUUGUUUGCAGGUACCAUACGAAUAAGGACCGGCUAAUUCCGUGCCAGCAGCCGCGGUAAUACGGAAGGUCCGGGCGUUAUCCGGAUUUAUUGGGUUUAAAGGGAGCGUAGGCUGGAGAUUAAGUGUGUUGUGAAAUGUAGACGCUCAACGUCUGACUUGCAGCGCAUACUGGUUUCCUUGAGUACGCACAACGUUGGCGGAAUUCGUCGUGUAGCGGUGAAAUGCUUAGAUAUGACGAAGAACUCCGAUUGCGAAGGCAGCUGACGGGAGCGCAACUGACGCUGAAGCUCGAAGGUGCGGGUAUCGAACAGGAUUAGAUACCCUGGUAGUCCGCACAGUAAACGAUGGAUGCCCGCUGUUGGUACCUGGUAUCAGCGGCUAAGCGAAAGCAUUAAGCAUCCC